UGCGAGGCAGGCAGUGAUGCUGCGGCCGCUUCGCACUGUGGCUCCUGCCGACCGCCAGGCGCUGUUACAGUGGAUGCGAACUAACCGUAAGUAUGCAGCAGCAGCCGGAACCCACAGUUCACCUUGGUGCAUUCCUUUAUGAUGAAGACUUAUUGAUUCAUUAUAUGAGAAAGGAAAAAUGAGCAGAAACUACUGUAUGAUGUGCAGCUCACACCAGACAGCAACUUUAGGGUUAUCUUUCCAGUUCAGCAGUGCAACUCUAUGGAGUAGAAUUGAAAGGAGACUUUUCGCCAAUUGCAGGAAAUGGUCAUAAAAAAAUACCUGCUCACUGACAGAAUAAAGUCUCACUCUGUCACCUGGCUGGAGUUUAGUGACACGAUCUUAGCUCCCUGCAACCUCUGCCUCCUGAGUUCAAGUGAUUCUCCUACCUCAGCCUCCUGAGUAGCUGGAAUUACAGAGUAAUUUAUCCCUACUUACAGAGAGAUUGCCCUACGUGUAACAGCUGCAUACAAAAAAGUUAUAAAAUUAUCAUUGGUUUAACAAGGAUAAGUGAAAAACAUU
This 561-nucleotide long non-coding RNA is filed under the name Homo sapiens (human). RNAcentral's name for it is "non-protein coding lnc-BAZ1A-4:16". The record is from RNAcentral. Lineage: Eukaryota; Metazoa; Chordata; Mammalia; Primates; Hominidae.